GCUUGACUGCGAGACAGACACGUCGAGCAGGUACGAAAGUAGGUCUUAGUGAUCCGGUGGUUCUGUAUGGAAGGGCCAUCGCUCAACGGAUAAAAGGUACUCCGGGGAUAACAGGCUGAUACCGCCCAAGAGUUCAUAUCGACGGCGGUGUUUGGCACCUCGAUGUCGGCUCAUCACAUCCUGGGGCUGAAGCCGGUCCCAAGGGUAUGGCUGUUCGCCAUUUAAAGUGGUACGCGAGCUGGGUUUAGAACGUCGUGAGACAGUUCGGUCCCUAUCUGCCGUGGACGUUUGAGAUUUGAGAGGGGCUGCUCCUAGUACGAGAGGACCGGAGUGGACGAACCUCUGGUGUUCCGGUUGUCACGCCAGUGGCAUUGCCGGGUAGCUAUGUUCGGAAAAGAUAACCGCUGAAAGCAUCUAAGCGGGAAACUUGCCUCAA
Molecule: ribosomal RNA, 436 nt
Filed under: Pseudomonas aeruginosa
Lineage: Bacteria; Pseudomonadati; Pseudomonadota; Gammaproteobacteria; Pseudomonadales; Pseudomonadaceae
Description: partial 23S ribosomal RNA
Rfam family: Bacterial large subunit ribosomal RNA
Source: RNAcentral